Neofelis nebulosa (Clouded leopard) is the source of this 1267-nucleotide long non-coding RNA. RefSeq lists it as uncharacterized. The record is from RefSeq and is a predicted model, not a curated record. The transcript has 2 exons. NCBI's taxonomy places the organism in Eukaryota, Metazoa, Chordata, Mammalia, Carnivora, Felidae.
CUCCCCUGUUGGUGCACGCACGCAUGUACUUUCUCAAAACAAAAAGAAAAAAAAAGUAUGUACACAGUGUGCUAAAAUUUUUGGAGGAAUGGGAGAACAUAAGUAUAUUUGUAUGCUUAAUAAGCAGGAGGCAGGGAGAAUGGAAUUGAUGGGGACAGGUAGGAGCAAGACUUUUCAAAGUAUACCUUUUUAUAUUGUUUUGAUUUUUGAAUCAUUGACUCUAUUAUCUUAUAGAGGCCUGAGGCAAAAAGUAUUUCUUUGUUGAUCAUUAAGGCCGGAGUAAAUUUCCUAUGAACUUCCCAAAGGAAAGGUAGUAAAUCUUAGACCAAACUGCAAGUUCCCAUUAACUCUCACCAUAAAUUUCAGUGCACAAAUUGGAGCCCCUCCUAAAAACUCUGCUAAGCCACAAUGGCAACAUGUGACAGGUGAGAUGGGCAGAAAGUCACAUAAAAGAGCAGUGAAUAUCCACAGCUUUGCUAAUUCCACCAAGAUGUCAAACAAAUAUGGACUUCAUACUAACUCUCUGGCCUAAGCUAGGGGAACUCUUGCAACAUAGCCAUUCUAAAUCUCUUUGGAUUUAACCCAAGGGAAACUUGAAUUUAAACUUAAUAUGCUAGGGGCACCUGGUUGAGCAUCCAUUCUACUUAGGCUCAGGUCACGAUCUCACAGCUCGUGGGUUCGAGCUCCUCGUCAGGCUCUGUGUUGACAGCUCACAGCCUGAAGCCUGCUUCGGAUUCUGUGUCUCCCUCUCUGCUCUUCUCUCUCUCUCUCUCAAAAAUAAACAUUAAAUUUUUUUUUAAUAUGCUAGAAGUCCACAACCCCUCAAGGCCAAAAAACAAAAUGCUCUGAAAACACAACCCUGAAGAAGCUCAAGAACUUUCCAGCUUCAUCUGUCUUAAAACACCAGCUUGGCAAUGGACAGAUCAUCUAAACAGAAAAUCAACAAGGAAACAAUGGCUUUGAAUGACACACUGGACCGAAUGGACUUAAUGGAUACAUUUAGAACAUUUCAUCCUAAAGCAGUGGAAUACACAUUCUUCUCAAGUGCACAUGGAACAUUCACCAGAAAAGAUCACAUACUGGGACACAAAUCAGCCCUCAACAAGUACAAAAAGACUGAGAUCAUACCGUGCAUAUUUUCAGACCACAACACUAUGAAACUCGCAAUCAACCACAAGAAAAAAUGUGGAAAGAUAACAAAUAGUUGGAGACUAAAAUUUUUUCUGUUCUUAUAAGACUGUGUUAAAAUAAAUCAGCAAGCCAUAGA